CUGGAGGCACACCAAUCGUAAGCCUGUGCGUACCCCUAGACACUCCCCUUAUGCUGCCCUAUAACAUCUUUUGGGAGCCCCUAGGAGCCGUCUUUGCUAGCCAUCUGCCAUGGUGGGUGGAUGAAAGACCCGAGCUAACAUGGGGUUAGCUCGUUAAAUUACAAUAAAGCCUCGUGCAGUUUGCAGCAAGCUCUCGAAUCCGCCUGGUGAUUGGGGUGACCGUGAAUGUGGCCUGGGACCCCGGAUACUUGAGUUUUCGGGGGGUCUAACAUUUGGGGGCUCGUCCUCGAUUUGCGACCACCCUUCACCUGAGUGGAUACGAUCUUGGAGUCUUUGCUGAAGGAAAUAACAUAGGUUUCUAGCAACUAUGAAUAAAGUCGCUAUGAACACAGUGAGGAAGCAUCCUUGAGUGUGGGAAGCCACAGCCCCAAGAUGGCGCCUGGCUGGAUGCCAGGGAGACUGAGCUUAGCUGUAAACAAGCCUUAUUUGGAAGCCUUAGUGGAUCUGAUGUGCCUCCUCCAGCUGUGACCUAUGCAGGAUCACCAGAAUAAACCAUCCUGAGUCAAGCAACCCAGUCACAAAAAGACAAACAUGUCAACAGGUUCUACCUUAAAUGCCCUUCUAUGAGAUUGAUGACUACCUUAUAUACCAUCGUAGAGCCUUCAUCCAGUAGCUGAUGGAAGCAGAAGCAGACUCCCACAGCUAAACACUGAGAUAGAACCUGGAAGCAAACUAGAUGCCCCUCAACUGAAGAAUGGAUAGAGAUAAUGUGGUACAUUUACACAAUUGAGUACUACUCAGCUGGGGGAAAAAACAAUGGAAUCUUGAAAUUCAAAGGCAAAUGGAUGGAACUAGAAGAAACCAUUCUGAAUGAGAUAACCCAGUCACAAAAAGACAAACAGGCCUUCACACAGCAGCUGGUGAAAGUGGAAGCAGACACCCACAGCUAAACACUGAACUGAACUGGAAUCCAGUUUCAGAUGAAGAGGAGUGAUGAUCAAAGUGGUCAACACCAAGCUGAUGAAACCCACAGAAACAGCUGACCUGAACAAGGGGGAACUCUUGGUUCCCAGACUGAUAGCUGGAAAACCAGCAUGGGACUGAUCCUGACCCAAUGAACGUGGGUGUCAGUGAGGAGACCUGGGAAAUGUAUGGGGCCUUUUGUAGUAGAUCAUUACUUAUCCCUCGAAUAGGAAUGGACUUUGGGAGCCUAUACCACAUAGAGGGAUACUCCCUGAUCUAGACACAAGGGUGUGGGCUUAGGCUCUAUCCCAAAGGAUAUGACAGACUCUGAAGACCCACUGUGGAAAGCAUCACCUUCCUGGGCAGCAGAAAUGGUAUGGGAUAGGUAGGAGGUUAGUGGGGGAAGCAGGGGAGGAGGGGAGGCAGAGGGAACUGUGGUUGACAUGUAAAAUAAUCUUGAUUCUAAUUAAAAUAAAAAUGUAAAGAAAGAAAGAAAAAACACAAUUGGAGCUAUUAGGAAAUGUAGACAGAGCCACAAACAAAGGGAGUUUAUUACAUUUACUGGUUGACCUACAAGGAGUUGUGUUCUGAUGUAGGAAGGAAAAAAAUCUUUCACUUAUGGUGUAUGAAAUUGAGCAAAACAACAUUGCUUUAAACAGUAAUUGAGUUUUCUUAUGUAAGAAAAACAUUCCCUCUGAUUUAGCAGGUUAAUUGAAUUUGAUUCCUCCAUUUUUGCUUGUGUCUUUCCAUUUGUGCUGAAAUUUGACAGUUACCAGUUUUAUGCUGAGAGAGAUACAAUCACUAGGAUGUAUUUCAAAAACCUUUGAAUUCUCUGUCAUUAAAAGUAAACAUGUAUAUGCUUUCUACCAUUCUUCUUUCCCCCUCCACCCCACUCACAUGGAUUGUUGAAUCCUAGCCUAAGCUGUGGAUGAUGUUGAUCCCACCUGUGAAUUGCUCAGUAUUCCAUUAGCCAGCAGUUUCUGAGGACUUUUUAGAAAUACAAAUUCAUUAGCUCCAUCCACACUUAUUGAACUGGAAACUAUAGGUAAUAUCAGACCAUCAGUUCUACAAAGCCCUUCUGGGCACUUUAAUGUAGGCUUGAAUGUGACGGCCACUGGGAGAUUGCCUUCCACAAUCCUCAAGUUGAAUGGUCCUAUUCUCUCACAGAAUUUCUUUCUUUCUUUUGUUUUUGGAAGCAGACUUUUUUAAAAUUUAAAUCAGAAACAAGCUUGUUACCAAUGUCAAUCCCAAAUUCCUCUCCCUCCCCUCCUUUCCUGCCUCUCCACCCACCCCACAUCCCAUCCCCUCUCAGCUCACCAGGGAGGAUGAGGCCUUCCAUGGGUGACUUUCAAAGUCUGUCAUAUCAUUUGGAGCAAUGCCUAGACCCUCCACCAUAUGACUAGGAUGAGAGAGUAUCCAUCUAUGUGGAAUGGACUCCCAAACUCCACUCAUACACCAGGACCAAACACUGAUCCACUACUUCCCCUUCUCCUGCUCCCCCCCCCACCUUCUUCCACCGUACCCCCAUCAACUUCUCAGAGAGAGUAAGGUUUCCCAUGCAGAGUUAACAAAGUCUUCCAUAUCACUGUGAGGCAGGACAAAGGCCCUCCCCCUAUAUCUAGGCUGAGAAAGGAAUCCUUCCAAAGAGAAUGGGCUCAUUUAUCUUUGGAUCAAUCCUGGUCUCACUGCCAGUAGCCCCACAGACUGCCCCAGCCAUACAACUCUCACUUGACUAGGGAAGACCAGCUCCAAGGACCCACAACCAGGUGGCUCUCUAUGGUCCAAUCAGAAGCAAGAGAGAGUGAGCUAUCAUCAAGGACCCCAGACCUAGCCUUCCCAGUCACAUCUGCACCUAUGACCAUGCCUAAAUGGGCAUGGUCAGUGCACCAGGUGUGGGCAAGGGGGAUCUCUCACUACAAUCCCCCUUUUAGUGUAAAGAAAAAAAUUAGACUUAGUAAAAAGCUAUAUACAAAGAUAGCAAAUAUCAAGUUAUACAGUAGGAGAAGGAAAAGUAAGAAUAUACACCCUUAAAACCUAUUGCCAUUGAAGCAACAAGUGUAAAAUGGGAAGAGCUACAGUCAUCCACAUUCAGGGGGCCUAUUUUGGUCCUAUGCAGGUUCCCCUGCUCUCAGUCCAUAAUCAGUGAGUUCCAACUCGCUCAGGUCAGCUGUUUCUAUGGGUAUCCCCAAAAUAGUCUUGACCCCUUUGCUCAUAAUAUUGCUCCUACCACUAUUUGGACUCUGGGAGCUCAUCCCAGGGCUUCCAUGGCUCUGUCUUUUAUUUUAUUUUUAAAUUUUUUUUA
This 3265-nucleotide long non-coding RNA is filed under the name Cricetulus griseus (Chinese hamster). RNAcentral describes it as "lncRNA (ENSCGRG00015042604.1)". The record is from RNAcentral. Lineage: Eukaryota; Metazoa; Chordata; Mammalia; Rodentia; Cricetidae.